RNAcentral lists this ribosomal RNA (274 nucleotides) under uncultured bacterium. Its description in RNAcentral is "partial 16S ribosomal RNA". It matches the Rfam family "Bacterial small subunit ribosomal RNA", at positions 523 to 796 of the family's 1533-position model. The record is from RNAcentral.
AUACGAGGGGUGCAAGCGUUAAUCGGAAUUACUGGGCGUAAAGCGUGCGUAGGCGGUUAUUUAAGUCAGAUGUGAAAGCCCAGGGCUCAACCUUGGAACUGCAUUUGAAACUGGGUAACUAGAGUUUGGUAGAGGGUGACGGAAUUCCAGGUGUAGCGGUGAAAUGCGUAGAUAUCUGGAGGAACAUCAGUGGCGAAGGCGGUUGCCUGGACCAAAACUGACGCUGAGGUGCGAAAGCGUGGGGAGCAAACAGGAUUAGAAACCCCAGUAGUCC